GUUGGAAAUCAUUCGCAGAGUGUAAAGGCACAAGCGAGCUUGACUGCGAGACAGACAGGUCGAGCAGGGACGAAAGUCGGGCUUAGUGAUCCGGUGGUUCCGCAUGGAAGGGCCAUCGCUCAACGGAUAAAAGCUACCCUGGGGAUAACAGGCUUAUCUCCCCCAAGAGUCCACAUCGACGGGGAGGUUUGGCACCUCGAUGUCGGCUCAUCGCAUCCUGGGGCUGUAGUCGG
Molecule: ribosomal RNA, 233 nt
Filed under: Agathobacter rectalis
Lineage: Bacteria; Bacillati; Bacillota; Clostridia; Lachnospirales; Lachnospiraceae
Description: partial 23S ribosomal RNA
Rfam family: Bacterial large subunit ribosomal RNA
Source: RNAcentral